This 240-nucleotide small RNA is filed under the name Arabidopsis thaliana (thale cress). RNAcentral's name for it is "ATSL284840". Lineage: Eukaryota; Viridiplantae; Streptophyta; Magnoliopsida; Brassicales; Brassicaceae. The record is from RNAcentral.
AUAAAAAUAGUAAACCGAACAAAAUCAAUGGCUGUGGGUAAAUAGGUGAAAACUAUGCUUAUGGGAUAGAUAUAGGUUUUGAACUAUAGAUUCAUAGAGAUAUAGAUUGAGAAGUAUCUUUUCGGGGCCAUCUGGAUCGUCUUCAUAAAUCGGGCUCUAUCUGGCAUGAUGUCAUAGUUCUCGUGGAGAAAUAGACCGUUUUCAACAUUUUCUUCUAAUCAACACUAUUUCUAAUUUAAC